UACGUAGGUGGCGAGUGUUGUCCGGAAUCAUUGGGCGUAAAGGGAGCGCAGGCGGGAUUGCAAGUCUUUCCUAAAAGUGCGGGGCUCAACCCCGUGAUGGGAAGGAAACUGCAGUUCUUGAGUGCAGGAGAGGAAAGCGGAAUUCCCGGUGUAGCGGUGAAAUGCGUAGAGAUCGGGAGGAACACCAGUGGCGAAGGCGGCUUUCUGGACUGCAACUGACGCUGAGGCUCGAAGGCCGGGGGAGCGAACG
RNAcentral lists this ribosomal RNA (250 nucleotides) under uncultured prokaryote. RNAcentral describes it as "partial 16S ribosomal RNA". It matches the Rfam family "Bacterial small subunit ribosomal RNA", at positions 524 to 774 of the family's 1533-position model. The record is from RNAcentral.